UACGUAGGGUGCAAGCGUUGUCCGGAAUUAUUGGGCGUAAAGAGCUCGUAGGCGGUUCGUCGCGUCGGCUGUGAAAUCCCGGAGCUCAACUCCGGGUCUGCAGUCGAUACGGGCGGACUCGAGUUCGGCAGGGGAGACGUGGAAUUCCUGGUGUAGCGGUGAAAUGCGCAGAUAUCAGGAGGAACACCGGUGGCGAAGGCGGGUCUCUGGGCCGAUGACUGACGCUGAGGAGCGAAAGCGUGGGGAGCGAACAGG
Molecule: ribosomal RNA, 255 nt
Filed under: uncultured bacterium
Lineage: Bacteria
Description: partial 16S ribosomal RNA
Rfam family: Bacterial small subunit ribosomal RNA
Source: RNAcentral